Molecule: long non-coding RNA, 717 nt
Organism: Pleuronectes platessa (European plaice)
Lineage: Eukaryota; Metazoa; Chordata; Actinopteri; Pleuronectiformes; Pleuronectidae
Exons: 3
Source: RefSeq, a predicted model, not a curated record
CGACCUGGAAACCUCCGAGCUACCCUGAAUGCACCAGCAGCAGAUCCCUGUCGCCGGACCCUGAAUGCAACAAGCUGCAGAAUCGGACUCUGCGCAUUCUGACGCGAGGAGCGAGGAAACGAAGGGUUUUUCAAUCCUCACUCAAGCAUCGCUCCGAAGUGACCUGGAGGAAGGAAGAUGUCAGUGGUUUAUAAAGACGACCAGGAGGACUGGCUGACAGUGUGUCUCAAGUACCUGCUCUUUGUUUUCAACUUUCUCUUCUGGGGGCGGACAUAUUUUGGGCCGGGCCCUCACUCCACCGUCUCCCCCCGGGGCCAUUCUUACAUCCAAGUGGCGCCUCCUUGAUUGGCCAUGUGUUGUUGUGGAUUCGGGGAUCUUGCCUUUGGACGGGAAGGGAUGAAAAGGAGACGCACUCCGAGGCAUUUCCUCUGCGUCCACCACCCUGCGUUUGUUGUCCAGGAAGUGGUUCUCCGUGCUCGGGCUUGACCUCUGUAGUCCCACUGCUCCCAUCCCUGUUGUUCUUUGUGCCCGACUGCCUCUGCUCUGUUUCUCUUUCUAUUUCCUCCCGCUUUUUUUCUGCCCUCUUAUCACUCCCAUCUCUCACGUUGUUUAUCUAUUAUAUCUGCUGCUUAUCUAACAUCCUUGAGCUCACUUCCUAUCCGUCACUUCCUGGCCUGUGAAGUCGUAGAAUGCUUGGUCUUGUUUUGUGAUAUAUUU